Molecule: RNA transcript, 2589 nt
Organism: Setaria italica (foxtail millet)
Lineage: Eukaryota; Viridiplantae; Streptophyta; Magnoliopsida; Poales; Poaceae
Gene name: dihydropyrimidinase
Exons: 13
Source: RefSeq, a predicted model, not a curated record
UGGAGGGACAGUGGAAGAAGGCGUCUGCCUGGCAGGUUGGAGGCAAAUUCGUCAUGUUAGCACACUCCUCUCAUGAACCAUGAUACCACGAUUACUGUUAUGGCAGUUCCAGACUUUUCAGUGGCGCUCCUGUUGUGAACGGCUGUUUCUCUUCUUUCUGCUGUAGCGUUCGCACUGAUGCUGGUUCUUCGUGAUGCUCCGGAGUAGUACUGAUCCUGCUGAACUGGGGAAUCUAUGCCUGUGACAGUUUGUCUUUGUAAUGUCUUGAGACUGAUUUCAUAGACCUGGCAACACGUGUUGAUUUCCAUGCUUUUGUGUGCCUACUGUGAAUUGGCCACUAGAUGGAUAAGAGGAUAACUCUACCGAAGUGUUCUCUUCAUUGGAUAUUGUCGAAAGGCACGUGCAGGGAUUGGCUCUCGGUGACGAGCACGAGCGGAGCUAAAGUUUGGUGUGGCGUGAACACGAUGAACGGUGACCUUGCGGUUGUGAGAGCUGGUGGUCAACAGCCUCGAUGGAAUUAUCCGAAUGGAUUGGGACGGAGCCCUGUGCGCCGGCCCUAGAUCCCCACCAAUCGCAGAGCUGCUUUCCGAUUGUUAAAUACUACAAGGCUCGUCGCGCCGCGCACGGUACGCCAAGUGAAGUGAGCUGCGACGGCGACUCUCUCAUCUGCUCUGCUUCUCCGCUCCGCUAGCUCCGCCGGCAGCGCGGGCCAUGGUGACGCCAUCCCGUGCGCUCCUCCUGCUGCUACCGCUGCUCGCCGUCGCGGCAUCUCAUCCGGCGCACGAGUUCUGCGCGGCGGGGGGUGACGCCGGCUGUGGCGACGGAGGGGACGGCACGAGGAUCCUGAUCAAGGGCGGGACGGUGGUGAACGCGCACCGGGCGGAGGAGGCCGACGUCUACAUCGAGGACGGCGUCGUCGUCGCCGUCAGGCCCAACAUCCCGGUCGGUGAUGAUAAUGUCAGAGUGAUCGACGCAACUGGAAAAUAUGUCAUGCCAGGUGGAAUUGACCCUCACACGCACUUGGCGAUGGAGUUCAUGGGCACCGUGACCAUAGAUGACUUCUUCAGCGGCCAUGCUGCUGCACUGGCAGGUGGGACGACGAUGCACAUUGACUUUGUCAUUCCAGUGAACGGCAACUUGACUGCAGGCUUGGAGUCCUACAAGCAGAAAGCAGCAAAUGCUGCCAUGGAUUAUGGCUUUCACAUGGCCAUUACCAAGUGGAAUGACGAGGUUGCAAGGGAAAUGGAGGUGAUGGUUAAGGAACAUGGGAUCAAUUCUUUCAAGUUCUUCAUGGCAUAUAAGGGUUCCCUGAUGGUCACGGAUGACCUACUCCUCCAAGGCCUGAGGAAAUGCAAGUCCCUCGGUGCCCUGGCUAUGGUACAUGCAGAGAAUGGGGAUGCUGUUGUGGAGGGACAACAGCGGAUGAUCGACCUUGGAAUAACUGGCCCAGAAGGGCAUGCUCUCUCAAGGCCCCCAAUUUUGGAAGGAGAAGCAACUGCACGGGCAAUCCGCUUAGCCAAUUUCAUCAAUACGCCACUGUACGUUGUUCAUGUGAUGAGCGUUGAUGCAAUGGAGGAGAUUGCCAAGGCUAAAAGAGAAGGGCAGAGAGUCAUUGGUGAACCAGUGGUUUCUGGACUGGUACUUGAUGAUUCUUGGCUUUGGGAUCCUGACUUCAUAGUUGCUUCAAAGUAUGUGAUGAGUCCUCCGAUCCGGGAAGCAGGGCAUGGUAAAGCACUCCAAGCUGCUCUCUCAUCAGGAAUUUUACAGCUUGUAGGUACUGAUCACUGCACAUUCAAUUCCACACAGAAAGCCUUCGGCUCUGAUGAUUUUCGGAAGAUUCCCAAUGGCGUAAAUGGUCUUGAGGAACGGAUGCAUAUUAUUUGGGAUAGCAUGGUGUUCCUCUGCUCUGAUGCUUAUGCAACACAAACAGGAGACUGGCAAGAUUUCUGUCACCGACUAUGUCAGAGUGACAAGCACAGAAUGUGCCAGGAUCUUCAACAUAUACCCUCAGAAAGGAGCAGUCCUAGAAGGAUCUGACGCAGACAUCAUCAUCCUAAACCCUGAAAGGAGCUUUGUGAUGGGUGCCCACACGCACCAUUCAAGGUCCAACACAAAUGUAUAUGAGGGCAGGAAAGGAAAGGGAAUGGUGGAAUUAACGAUCUCAAGGGGCCGAGUGGUAUGGGAGGAUGGUGUGUUGAACAUCACUCCCGGUUCAGGAAGAUACAUCAGGAUGGCGCCUUUUGGCUAUGUAUUUGAUGGCAUUGAGAAGUCAGAUGCCGCCUACAGAGCUUCCCUCCGAGCUCCUGUACAGCGUGGUAAAGCUGCUGCUUAACAAUGACUUGCUCCAUCUGGUUCGCUCCAUCUAGUUCGAGAACGAGCUGCUCCAAGGUGAACACCGCCCGUUCCAUGUGUAUACAAAAAAGGGGGAAACUUUAUUUAAGUUCAGAUUCAGGAUUGGUAAAGGCCUUAACUUGCCUAUGUACAUCGAACACAUUUGUGACCCAGAAAUUUAUUGGUUCCAGACGAUUUGUACAACUAGCAACUUGUUAUUCCAAUAAAUGAAAGGAAAAGUUAGGGGGUGUUUCGAUA